ACACUUAACCAAAGUCAUGUACUAAUGAACAAUGAAGUGACAGUCUAAAUAGCAGACAUCAUUAAAAGAAGUUACUGGUACACGGUGAAUGAAAAAUAAUAAACAGUGACAGCUCUAACAAACGUUCAUUUGAUGCCUCUUAAGUAUUCUUCUAAGGCUAUUAUCAUGUGUCAGGUACUGUAUUAGGUGCUGUGAAUACAAGAAGGAAGCACAUGUCUUUUCCCUCAUGAAGCUUAUAUUCUUCCAGAGAAAUGCCACAUUCUGUUUUUUAAGUUUGGCAUCCGUGUUUUAAUGAAGUAUUUGAGAUGCGGUGUGAAGAGGAAUUGGGAGGUUGCUGGCUGUAUCUAUUCCUGGAAAUUAUGCAGUUGAUUACUAUUAUUUUGAAAAAAUCACCUUUAGUCCCACAAAUGUAAGAAGAAACCCAGAAAAUCACCACCAAGCAGAAUCACAAAGUACAGUCAGUGGAAAAAGUUGCAAGUCUCACGAAAGAUGUGCCGUCUUUAUAUGUAAGAUCUUUCUUAGAACUAGAACUUAUAAGAAGUCAAGCUGAAUGUUCCAAAAACAAUGUUAAGAUUAAAAAAAAAAAAACAAGCAAAACCUAUGUCAAAUACAGGCUAGAUAUUCACAGACAUUGUGGACUGUUGGGAGUGGCUUCUGCCUCUGGAGCGUGGUUAAAGUAGAUCGCCUUUGAGAUUCCUUCCUAGCCUGAAGGAACCUAAUGAUCUCAAACCAGAGAUGGAGCUAAAGAAAACUAACAGGCCUUGUUAAUUACUGAGGAAAUAGUCUAUAAUUCAACUAAAGCUCCUACUUGAUGCAUUUACAUACUGUGAAGUUCCGAAGAGAGUUCCCCUCUAUGUAAAGUUUUGCUAAAGAGGACGAGCUAAGUGAGAGAUUUACUGGAAACAGGAUUGACGGACGAAGGAACAUCCUCUUGAUUUGAAGGAGGCAAAUAUGGAGACUUCGUGACCAGGGAGGAAGAUAGUACAGUGAACCUGUUGGCAUUCUUAUGUUUCCUACCUGGAAUGGGAGUUGGUGUGAUAGGAAAUGUGGCUAUGAGCCCCAUGAGAAAAGGACACAUGCAGUUUAAGGAGAGAUGUUUUCUCCUUAAUUCCUGGUUCCCGAAAUAUGUUCAGGGCUCAUAAGUGAGGACUUAAGCCCUUGGGAGACACUUGGGGGCCCUUUUCUCUGCACCUUUUAGAAUUCAAAAACAGUAGUACAA
This is a long non-coding RNA of Canis lupus familiaris (dog), 1219 nucleotides long. RefSeq lists it as uncharacterized. The transcript has 3 exons. Lineage: Eukaryota; Metazoa; Chordata; Mammalia; Carnivora; Canidae. The record is from RefSeq and is a predicted model, not a curated record.